ACUAUUAAAAGUUAUAUCAUAAAUGAUUAUAGUUUAAAAAUAUAUAUUAAUUUUAUAUUAAUUUUAUACAGUAUUAACUUCGUAUGCAAUCACUACAAAAUUGCCAGCAUGCGGGAUAAAAUGGCUGACAGUGAUAUAUGAUAACAAACGAACGAAGAGGUUCAAGAACGAGUGACGUGGAUGUCUCUCCGGUUCGACUCAUAUACUCUACCUGUGCUGAUCUGACGUCACGGAUAUGCUUCUUAUCAGGUAGAAGCGCCAACACCUGUAAG
Apis mellifera (honey bee) is the source of this 272-nucleotide long non-coding RNA. RefSeq lists it as uncharacterized. The record is from RefSeq and is a predicted model, not a curated record. The transcript is spliced from 2 exons. NCBI's taxonomy places the organism in Eukaryota, Metazoa, Arthropoda, Insecta, Hymenoptera, Apidae.